CCGGCGAUGUCCGAAUGGGGAAACCCAGUGCAAUUCGUUGCACUAUCGUUAACUGAAUACAUAGGUUAACGAGGCGAACCGGGGGAACUGAAACAUCUAAGUACCCCGAGGAAAAGAAAUCAACCGAGAUUCCCCCAGUAGCGGCGAGCGAACGGGGAGCAGCCCAGAGUCUGAAUCAGCUUGUGUGUUAGUGGAACGGUCUGGAAAGUCCGACGGUACAGGGUGAUAGUCCCGUACACCAAAAUGCACAGGCUGUGAACUCGAAGAGUAGGGCGGGACACGUGGUAUCCUGUCUGAAUAUGGGGGGACCAUCCUCCAAGGCUAAAUACUCCUGACUGACCGAUAGUGAACCAGUACCGUGAGGGAAAGGCGAAAAGAACCCCGGCGAGGGGAGUGAAAAAGAACCUGAAACCGUGUACGUACAAGCAGUGGGAGCACCUUCGGGUGUGACUGCGUACCUUUUGUAUAAUGGGUCAGCGACUUAUAUUCUGUAGCAAGGUUAACCGUAUAGGGGAGCCGCAGGGAAACCGAGUCUUAACUGGGCGUUAAGUUGCAGGGUAUAGACCCGAAACCCGGUGAUCUAGCCAUGGGCAGGUUGAAGGUUGGGUAACACUAACUGGAGGACCGAACCGACUAAUGUUGAAAAAUUAGCGGAUGACUUGUGGCUGGGGGUGAAAGGCCAAUCAAACCGGGAGAUAGCUGGUUCUCCCCGAAAGCUAUUUAGGUAGCGCCUCGUGAAUUCAUCUUCGGGGGUAGAGCACUGUUUCGGCUAGGGGGUCAUCCCGACUUACCAACCCGAUGCAAACUACGAAUACCGAAGAAUGUUAUCACGGGAGACACACGGCGGGUGCUAACGUCCGUCGUGAAGAGGGAAACAACCCAGACCGCCAGCUAAGGUCCCAAAGUCAUGGUUAAGUGGGAAACGAUGUGGGAAGGCACAGACAGCCAGGAUGUUGGCUUAGAAGCAGCCAUCAUUUAAAGAAAGCGUAAUAGCUCACUGGUCGAGUCGGCCUGCGCGGAAGAUGUAACGGGGCUAAACCAUGCACCGAAGCUGCGGCAGCGACACUAUGUGUUGUUGGGUAGGGGAGCGUUCUGUAAGCCUGCGAAGGUGACCUGUGAGGGUUGCUGGAGGUAUCAGAAGUGCGAAUGCUGACAUAAGUAACGAUAAAGCGGGUGAAAAGCCCGCUCGCCGGAAGACCAAGGGUUCCUGUCCAACGUUAAUCGGGGCAGGGUGAGUCGACCCCUAAGGCGAGGCCGAAAGGCGUAGUCGAUGGGAAACAGGUUAAUAUUCCUGUACUUGGUGUUACUGCGAAGGGGGGACGGAGAAGGCUAUGUUAGCCGGGCGACGGUUGUCCCGGUUUAAGCA
This 1366-nucleotide ribosomal RNA is filed under the name Klebsiella pneumoniae. RNAcentral's name for it is "partial 23S ribosomal RNA". It matches the Rfam family "Bacterial large subunit ribosomal RNA", at positions 104 to 1518 of the family's 2925-position model. Lineage: Bacteria; Pseudomonadati; Pseudomonadota; Gammaproteobacteria; Enterobacterales; Enterobacteriaceae. The record is from RNAcentral.